AUCAGUGUCACCUAGAAACUCAGAGGAAGACAUUCCAUUUGACAAACCCAGUUCCAGGUUAGAAGCCCCAUAGAACUCACAGUACUGGGGUAGCCCAUGACAACCAGGGUAAAAUAGUCUUUAGAACCCUGAUGACCAUCAACUGUGACUUCUACUGCAGAUGCAGUUUAAACAGCUGACUUAAUUGUACAAAAGACAAAGUUAAUGAGGUGAAAAGAAGAAUAUGCUAACAAGAACAGUAGCUGUUGGAAAUGUGCUUUUCUCCCUACCACACACAGAUUAACUAAAACAUCUUAGACUUUCUUCUCAGCCCAGCAAUGCAAAGACUGAAAACUAUGUUGAUGUCUAUGAUUCUUUUGGCCAAACUCCUACAAAUCUCAUGUCUAGCUGCAUCGGGCUGAAUGGAACCCGACUCCUCGUUGGCAAGGGCAUGUUCGUCAUCCUGAGGCCGUGGCUUCUAUAAGCAGUUGAGACACAUUUAUCUACCAGGGAGGGGAAAUGCUACCAUCAAAACAUCACAUCAGAAGCUGUGACAGCACGGGGAGUCCUGAAGCAUUCCACAAUUGUGAUGAGAAAGGUGUGUGUCCAAGAUGUCACCUCUCUGGACACUCAGUUGGAUGUCCAGAGAGUCAACUGUGCCUCCCCUCUACUCCAAGCACAGGGAAACCUCAAGGUUAUCCAGCUUGACAGCAAUCAUCUAUGUCUGUCUCUAACCCCUUGGUUCCCUCCCCUAUCUUUGCCAUAAGCAGCCUUUCUCCUGUAUACUUGGGUCUGUGGAUUCAGCUGGAUAAGGGAGAGCCUGGAUUUCCUGGCUCGCUCUUGUCACCCUGUCAGGUUAUUUUUGCUUUGUCACACGGUCCAGCUAAAUCAGAAAUCUGCACCUGUCCCUUUGUCUUUUCAAGUCAGCAGAAUAGCACAUUGUUCCUUUUCCAUUGUCCCAAAGCAGACCUCCACCCCCCAGAGGGCGUGCUUUCCUGUCACCUGCCUUGCUGUCAGAGCUGACAGUCUUCAACCACCUGGUUCCUGUGGCUUGAAAGCAAGUGCCCUUGCCUUAUCCAGCUUAAUGCUUUUUAAACUGCUACCUCCUAUUAUUUGGAAUCUCCUUGUCUGAGAAUUGUGCUACAGAGGAAGCCUGGGUGGCUAUUUAGAUUUCCCUGUCUAUGUCUAACAACAUGUAGCACAUUGACUUGAGAAUCUCACUGGGAAUAUAAAUCACGUAGACAAUUUCUCAAAGACAAGCCCUCAGGCCAGUUUCAAUGAUAUACAGUUUAUUGAUACUGGAUGUGACCCUGGACUCUUGCUGUAAGUAUCCAUGUGUCCUUGACCCUGCAAGUUUAGCCCCAUACUGUGGAGUGAUGCCUUGGUGCAGCUGUCACUCUGAGUGGAUCCUCUAUUCCUUUUGUAUCUUGAGCUGUUACAAGGAAGAAGUUUGUCUCCAGCUUCCUAUAUUUGUGAGUUGCACAAACAUCCUGCGGUGUAGCAUUAGCAGAAUUUUGCAAACAAAUUUUAACUCAACAUUCCACUCCUUAGAAGAGAAUUCAACACUUAACAACAUUUAAAAUAAUGUCACCUUGGAAAUGAGUAUCAAGUGAUCUUGCCGGAGGUCUGGUUGGUAAAGCCACAGGCAAAUAGAGCCAGGUAAUAUCUAGCACCUUGCCAAUAAGUCAUGUCCUGUCUUUACUUCAUCAGAGCACAGUGUGUGACCUUCUGCUACUUCCAAAUGCUAGUAAAAACCUCUCAGAACUCACAGAUGAAGCUCUAUUAUUAAUUAAUUAAUUUAGUAAUGUUUAUUUCCAUGAAAUAAAAAUUUAAAAGCGCUAUACAAAAUGACUAAGGACUUGCUUGCUAAAGGUAUGGUUUGUGGCUAUUUUGACAUAAAAUGCAUUUUAUUAUUUAAAAAUAAUUCAUUACCCAGUGAACAUUAUGAAGCAGAGUACAAGUGAGGUGUCAGUUUGAACACAAAGUCCCCACACAGCCUUUGAUGUGGCAUGUGUAUUUCUUGCACCAAGCUCAUUAUGGAGUGCUACCAUGUCUCGAUGUUAUUUGUAGAUAACCAUAGAAUGAUUUCAGUUUUUAAAGAAUGUUUUGAUCAAUAAAUAAUCACUAAACCUAAA
Molecule: long non-coding RNA, 2114 nt
Organism: Rattus norvegicus (Norway rat)
Lineage: Eukaryota; Metazoa; Chordata; Mammalia; Rodentia; Muridae
Source: RefSeq, a predicted model, not a curated record